Eucalyptus grandis is the source of this 1323-nucleotide RNA transcript. RefSeq lists it as hypothetical. Lineage: Eukaryota; Viridiplantae; Streptophyta; Magnoliopsida; Myrtales; Myrtaceae. The record is from RefSeq and is a predicted model, not a curated record. The transcript has 9 exons.
GACCAUAUCCAAAUACGAACGGAUAAAAAACACAGAGACGCGCACAGAGAGACAGGACCAGGAGCUUCACUUCACGGACUCGCCGGUGCUCCGCUCGGAAAGGGCCGUCGAUGGCCGCUCUCGCAAUCGGCGUCGCCGCCGGCGCAACCACCUCCAUGGCCGGCUCCAGAAGCUUUCACCGGCUCCGUCACGCGCCGACAAGAAUCUCCUGCGUCAAAUGGGAUCCGGAAGGCCUCUUCGGGCCACCCCAGACCGGCCACAUCGCCCGCAGCGAGUUCCGCCGGCGGCUGGAGAAGGACGCCGAGGCUCGCGAGGAGUUCGAGCGCCACGUCCGCGAGGAGAACGAGCGCCGCCGAGCCGUCCGAGAGUCGCGGGACGUGCCGGACACUCCGGCGGAGCUGGUCGAGUACUUUCUCGACACCGAGGCUCAGGAAAUCGAGUUCGAGAUUGCGAGGAUGAGGCCACGGUUAAAUGAAGAAUUCUUUGCCCACCUACAGUUUGAAUUGGGCCAACUUCGAUUUUCUGUUUCAAAAACCGAGGAUAUGGAAGACAGAUUGAUUGAGCUGGAAGCUUUGCAGAAGGCUUUGCUCGAGGGGACAGAAGCUUAUGAAAAAAUGCAAGUUGACCUUGUAAAAGCAAAGAACAACCUGACAAAAAUUUUGACAUCAAAAGAUGUUAAAGCGACUUUACUAGAGAUGGUUGAGCAGAACGAACUCAACAGAUCAUUAUUGACGCUUCUUGAUGAAAAUAUAGCAAAUGCUCAGAAGGGUAACCAGGAAAAAAUCGCAGCUUACAUGGAAAAACUACGUGCAGCUGUUCUCAAGUACAUGACAGUCUAAUCCCUGGUCAGUCCAUGCUAUGAUCUCUUGAUGAUGAUGAGUUGAGUUUUCAUUUCACAGGUCAUUAACCAUGGUUAAAUCCUUGUCCUGCUGGAGUUGAGGUCUGAAUGGGCAACUAAAUACCUAACUAACGCAUUAGGUGCGGCACCUCAGUUUUCCCAUGCCUUGUCCUCCUUUCAGCUAAAUUCGCAAAAUUGGGGGGGAGAUGUGGGGGUGGUCUGUAUCAUUUUUAAAAUUCAGAAAAUCACGUUUGCUACUCUUGCUAGCUGUUAUAAACAAAAUGUAUGCGACUUUAUGGGAACUUCAUUUUCCUUGUUUUGGGAUGGCACUGCUGGCAAAUCUCCACGGAUAACAAAAAAUUGGAGUUUUGCUGUUGCUGGUUGAGCGUCACAUCGCCAUGCUGUGUAUUCCCUUUGGGAUCCAUAGGGCUAGUCGGUUUGGAACUGUGUCAGGCUGUGAAAUUAAGCGUAUUUUGUUGCUGAAA